Molecule: ribosomal RNA, 426 nt
Filed under: uncultured Methyloprofundus sp.
Lineage: Bacteria; Pseudomonadati; Pseudomonadota; Gammaproteobacteria; Methylococcales; Methylococcaceae
Description: bacterial SSU rRNA
Rfam family: Bacterial small subunit ribosomal RNA
Source: RNAcentral
UGGGGAAUAUUGGACAAUGGGCGAAAGCCUGAUCCAGCAAUACCGCGUGUGUGAAGAAGGCCUGAGGGUUGUAAAGCACUUUCAAUUGGGAGGAAAACAGGCAGGUUAAUAUCCUGUCUCUUGACAUUACCUUUAGAAGAAGCACCGGCUAACUCCGUGCCAGCAGCCGCGGUAAUACGGAGGGUGCAAGCGUUAAUCGGAAUUACUGGGCGUAAAGAGUUCGUAGGCGGUUUGUUAAGUUAGAUGUGAAAGCCCUGGGCUUAACCUAGGAACUGCAUUUAAUACUGGCAAACUCGAUUUUAGAAUAGGGAAGUGGAAUUUCAGGUGUAGCGGUGAAAUGCGUAGAUAUCCGGAGGAACAUCAGUGGCGAAUGCGACUUCCUGGCCCAAUACUGACGCUGAGGUGCGAAAGCGUGGGGAGCAAACA